This is a long non-coding RNA of Sphaerodactylus townsendi, 520 nucleotides long. RefSeq lists it as uncharacterized. NCBI's taxonomy places the organism in Eukaryota, Metazoa, Chordata, Lepidosauria, Squamata, Sphaerodactylidae. The transcript has 5 exons. The record is from RefSeq and is a predicted model, not a curated record.
GCCCCUCACCAUCUGAAUGAGCAUGGGGAGGGAAGGAGCCAGUACAGGCUUCAAGCCGGCAAGGUAGAAGCUGCCGGUAACCCCCGCGACAGACAGACAGAAUCUUCUUUCUGGCAAGAGAAGGAUCUUCAUAUUGCUCACCAAGGUGAAAUCAUGGACCUGAAUGCAAAGGAACAGUCUACUUCCCCACAAAGGCAGGGAGUAAAAGCUCGGUCCAAAUCUACAGAGGAGAUCCAGCCUGCCAAGAAGGCCUUCCAUACUCCCCAGAAGUCCUUACCGAACCAAAUGGAUGCAGAUGAGUCCAAGGGUUCCUGUCCUGUACCAUCACCAAAUACUGCUCAACAGCAGCAGACUUGAGGAGCAGGUCAUGGUUAUGAGGAGUGGAGGUGUGACCAUUCCUUGUGCUACUCAGACUUUGGGCCCUUGUGGAUGUCACUGUGGUACUGUUUGUCAAGCUGUUGCUAUCUGUCUGUCCCCUGUGUGAAAUGAGAUCUGGGUAAAUAAAGUAAAUUGGAAUCUG